This 543-nucleotide ribosomal RNA is filed under the name Saccharomyces cerevisiae (brewer's yeast). RNAcentral describes it as "partial large subunit ribosomal RNA". It matches the Rfam family "Eukaryotic large subunit ribosomal RNA", at positions 51 to 597 of the family's 3401-position model. The record is from RNAcentral. Lineage: Eukaryota; Fungi; Ascomycota; Saccharomycetes; Saccharomycetales; Saccharomycetaceae.
CGGAGGAAAAGAAACCAACCGGGAUUGCCUUAGUAACGGCGAGUGAAGCGGCAAAAGCUCAAAUUUGAAAUCUGGUACCUUCGGUGCCCGAGUUGUAAUUUGGAGAGGGCAACUUUGGGGCCGUUCCUUGUCUAUGUUCCUUGGAACAGGACGUCAUAGAGGGUGAGAAUCCCGUGUGGCGAGGAGUGCGGUUCUUUGUAAAGUGCCUUCGAAGAGUCGAGUUGUUUGGGAAUGCAGCUCUAAGUGGGUGGUAAAUUCCAUCUAAAGCUAAAUAUUGGCGAGAGACCGAUAGCGAACAAGUACAGUGAUGGAAAGAUGAAAAGAACUUUGAAAAGAGAGUGAAAAAGUACGUGAAAUUGUUGAAAGGGAAGGGCAUUUGAUCAGACAUGGUGUUUUGUGCCCUCUGCUCCUUGUGGGUAGGGGAAUCUCGCAUUUCACUGGGCCAGCAUCAGUUUUGGUGGCAGGAUAAAUCCAUAGGAAUGUAGCUUGCCUCGGUAAGUAUUAUAGCCUGUGGGAAUACUGCCAGCUGGGACUGAGGACUGC